CCUACGUUCUUCCGCCGUUCUUACUAUUGGUCCAUGGCCGUAAGGCUGAACCAGCCAAGUAGCGUGAGGGAAGACUGCCCUAUGGGUUGUAAACCUCUUUUAUGCGGGGAUAAAGGUGUCCACGUGUGGAUGUUUGCAGGUACCGCAUGAAUAAGGACCGGCUAAUUCCGUGCCAGCAGCCGCGGUAAUACGGAAGGUCCGGGCGUUAUCCGGAUUUAUUGGGUUUAAAGGGAGCGUAGGCCGGUCUUUAAGCGUGCCGUGAAAUUUUGUGGCUCAACCAUGAGAGUGCGGCGCGAACUGUAGACCUUGAGUGCGCGGAAAGCAUGCGGAAUUCGUGGUGUAGCGGUGAAAUGCUUAGAUAUCACGAAGAACCCCGAUUGCGAAGGCAGCCUGCCGCAGCGUUACUGACGCUGAAGCUCGAAAGCGCGGGUAUCGAACAGGAUUAGAUACCCUGGUAGUC
This 460-nucleotide ribosomal RNA is filed under the name uncultured bacterium. RNAcentral's name for it is "partial 16S ribosomal RNA". It matches the Rfam family "Bacterial small subunit ribosomal RNA", at positions 338 to 795 of the family's 1533-position model. The record is from RNAcentral.